AUGCUGAGGUUCUGCCAGCUAUCAAUGUGCUCGAAUUGUUACUAUGUGAAUGUCUCCAUGAAAGAUGACAGGAUAAGUCACCGGGAGGAGAGAUGCAGUGUGUCUGAACUGGAGCCUGCAUCAGGCUGGGUAUUAAAUAGGGAAAACGAGCCUGAGUACUUUGAACUGAUAUCCAUGGGAGCCAAUUUCAUUUCUAUGACCACCGGGAGAGAGAAAAUGUGUUAACUGUGUUGAAUACAUCCCUUUAUCCUCUCUUAUCACCUUGUUGAACGAGGUCAGUACUGUUAAGCUACUCCUUUGAUAAUAAUGUGAGGACAAUUUCAAGAGUUGGUUUGGGGGGUGUUAGGAUUGACUGUGGAUUUUUGCUGGGGGAUUCUUUGAAGGAUGUACAGAUGGGCAAUAGUUUGAUGCUACAGCCAAUGACAAGACUGGCAAAAAUACCCUUGAUCUCAGGAGCAAUAGCAUUCCACUCAGCAGACCAGAAGUUGCUUGCAGUUAUUUAACACUUAUUUGUUUCCACUUGCUUGAUUUGUUCUCAUUGCCGCUAACAGAUAUGAAGCUCUAUUUGUUCCUUUAUGCUACAAUGUAGGAAAUAAUCUGGAAAAGCUAGCAGAUUUUACACUACUGUGCUAAUUCAUUUCAUGCUGUUAUCAUGAGCAACAACAAUGGCAAAACCCUUACAGGAAUAUUUGAAAAAGAAAUGAACCCAAAUAAAGGUUCAGAGAUAAUAUUUUAAAGGGAGCUU
RNAcentral lists this long non-coding RNA (745 nucleotides) under Numida meleagris (helmeted guineafowl). RNAcentral's name for it is "lncRNA (ENSNMEG00000009527.1)". The record is from RNAcentral. Lineage: Eukaryota; Metazoa; Chordata; Aves; Galliformes; Numididae.